Molecule: ribosomal RNA, 99 nt
Filed under: uncultured bacterium
Lineage: Bacteria
Description: partial 16S ribosomal RNA
Rfam family: Bacterial small subunit ribosomal RNA
Source: RNAcentral
UACACACCGCCCGUCACACCAUGGGAGUCGGCUGCACCAGAAGUAGGUUGCCUAACCUUCGGGAGGGCACUUACCACGGUGUGGUCGAUGACUGGGGUG